CCUACGGGGUGCAGCAGUGGGGAAUAUUGGACAAUGGGGGCAACCCUGAUCCAGCCAUGCCGCGUGUGUGAAGAAGGCCCUCGGGUUGUAAAGCACUUUCAGUGAGGAAGAACGCCUGGUGGUUAAUACCCAUCAGGAAAGACAUCACUCACAGAAGAAGCACCGGCUAACUCCGUGCCAGCAGCCGCGGUAAUACGGAGGGUGCGAGCGUUAAUCGGAAUUACUGGGCGUAAAGCGCGCGUAGGUGGCUUGAUAAGCCGGUUGUGAAAGCCCCGGGCUCAACCUGGGAACGGCAUCCGGAACUGUCAAGCUAGAGUGCAGGAGAGGAAGGUAGAAUUCCCGGUGUAGCGGUGAAAUGCGUAGAGAUCGGGAGGAAUACCAGUGGCGAAGGCGGCCUUCUGGACUGACACUGACACUGAGGUGCGAAAGCGUGGGUAGCAAACAGGAUUAGAUACCCUUGUAGUC
This 465-nucleotide ribosomal RNA is filed under the name Vreelandella stevensii. RNAcentral's name for it is "partial 16S ribosomal RNA". It matches the Rfam family "Bacterial small subunit ribosomal RNA", at positions 338 to 795 of the family's 1533-position model. Lineage: Bacteria; Pseudomonadati; Pseudomonadota; Gammaproteobacteria; Oceanospirillales; Halomonadaceae. The record is from RNAcentral.